GGCUUGCUGGAGGCACCGGGGGCGCUAGGCGGAAGGGCUCCUCCCCUCCGUGGCUCUGAGCUAGGGUGUUGUUACCAGAGCCUGGGAGGAGGGGCGACGAGGACAUCUCUGCGAGGGCACCGGCUGAGGGGCCAACGGUCAGCAGGAGCCGGACACGCACAUGCCUUCGCCGCUUCCCUCAGGGACUGGAAGCAGGCGCGGAUGGGGCAGGGAGUGGAGGGACGGCGCGCGUCCGGAUGCCAUUGCUCAUGCGCGCGGCGGCCCGUGCGCCUUUGCGAGAGGCUAGGCUUGGGACCGCCGGACCCCCGUCAACGCCGGGCGCGCUUCUCCCAGCGCUAAGCGGGAGGGCGCGCGCCCCUUGCGCUGGGACAGGUGCUUUGACGUGGGAACCUUAAGGGGUUUUCCUUCCCCGCUUCUAAAACUGUAAAGCCGGCAAGCUGGAAAGACCGCUAAAGCUCAUCUCGGCCAACCACCUCGUUUUUAAUUUAUGGGGCGACUGAGAAGACGGGAAGUGACGGAGGGGUCCCAGCUGGAGCCUAUGCUGUAUCUCCUUAGGAUUCAAGCAUUGCUGGAGGACUGGUGGAGCAGGACUUCAGGACUCUAUUUAUAUAUAGCUCCUGGAGUAUCUUAGGAAAGAAGCCAUGCUAAGAGAGAGCUGAGUCCCCAAGCCUGGUUCAAGGAUGUGAGCCACUGUCAGAAAGGAGAAGAAAUGGUGAAAGCAUCAUGGUCUCUGUCAUUUAGAUCAGCCUCCAGCUCAGCCUCCAUGGAUUCAUGCCUCUGUCAUAAGGAAUAAUCCACUACUGAGGACCCAGUGCCCCACAAAGUGAACCUUGGCCUCCCACAGAAGAACGCUUUAAGGAGCUACCAACUCAUUUACCUUUGCUCUAGUGCAGCACCCAUAUUAUGGGUGGUAAGAGAGAAAAAAGAAAAAAAUCUACUGAGGAGAAAAACAUACAACAUAGUCCUGCAUCAGUCUUUUGCCAACGACAGAUGGGUCAACCACAACAAAUGGGCAGUUUGCACAUGAGACUUAAUGUACAACUCCUUGUUCAUUUUUCUUUGACAGUGGAAGGACAUUGGACCUGACAUACAGAAAAGAUUUGCUGUUUUUGAAAUUCCAUGGACACUGGUAUGUUGCAGUCAGCUUAGGUAGAUGUUAUUAUCCUCAACAAGAAUUACAUUUUUGAAAAUACCUGAGAACAAACUACUGAUGCUCAAAACAUUACAGAUGAAUUUCACAGCUAUUAUAUUGAAUGGAAGAAGCCGGACACAAAAUAAUACAUGCUGUAUUAUUUCAUCUAUAUGAAAUUUAAGAACUGAUAGAAGUUCAAGAACUGAUGGAAGAUUAUAGAGGCCAGAAGAAUGCUUAUCUCCAGUGGGGAGGAGAGUGGUGACUGAGAAGGGGUGUGAAGGAAACAUUUGAGUGCUGGAGUAUUUCUCUAUUGUGAUCCAGAUGGGGGUUACAGAGAUGCAUAAAGACGCAAAGAUUCAUCACAAUAUACACUUAAGAUGAUUGCACUUUAUUAUAAAAGCAAUUUUUACUUCAAUAAAAUAUUUAGUAAAAGGUAUGUUAUACUAAAAUUAAAAGAAAAAGAAGAAUCUGAGAAAGUAUGUUUUAUAAACUGGGAAGCACUUCAAAGUCUCUUUUACCUUAAAAAUUUGAGAUGCCUUUGACAACCUCCCUUCUCCUAGUUUCUCCCUCUCUGUGGUCACUCCUCAGUCUCUCUAAGGUUCAGUUGGCUUUUCUCUGCCUGUCUUGUAAGCAUUGUGUCCCCAGAGUUCUGUCCUUAUAACUCUCCUCACUUUACAUACUAUUGACAAUCUCUGUAGCUCCAACUCCCAGCACAAUUUUCUAACUUCCAGGUCACACUCUUUUCUCCUCUGUACCCAUACUCAUUCAUUGAACAACUACAUACUGGAUUGUUUUUACUGGGUGUCUUAUGCCAAGUACUGUUCUUGGCACUAGGCCAUGUCAGUCAAUGAAACAGAGAUCUUUGCCUUCAUGGAGCUUAUGUGCCCAGAUUGCUCUCCCUGGGCCUACCAAGACUCAGAUGUCCCAGAAGAUCUCAUAAUCUUCACCCCUUGAUUCUCUCUAACCUCAAACUUGUUUUUCCCAUGCAUCUUCCAUCUCUGUGAUUGCACUGUCAUCCUCUCAGAAACUCGGAAUCAUCCCUGACCCCGCUUCACUAUUCCAUGUCCUGAAUAUCUCUCAGAACCCUCCACUUGUCUGUAUUUGCACUGCCCUGACUCAUUCUCAUUGUUUCCCAUUUGGCUUACUAAUUGGUCUCUCUGCCUCCAGUCUUCUUCCUGCCUAUCACUCUCCAUACAGCCGCUAGAAUGAUUAUAAAAUGCAAAUCAGGACAAGUUGCUUUCUGCCUAAACCUGUCCAGUGAAAGUCUAAAUUCCUUACCUUGUUCUCAUAUUCUCGGCUGUCAGGAUAUAAGCAUAGCUGCUGAAACCUGGGUUCACAUCCCUGCUUACCAGCAUAAACUUGGGCAAAAUUGUUUUAUCCAUUCCAUGCCUUACUUCCCCAUCUAUAAAAUGGGAAUGAUAAUAGUACUGACCUUGAGCUGUUAUGGGGAUUAAAUUUAUUAUUGCACACAAGGCACUAAGAACAGUGCCUGGUCCUCAGUAUAUACUCAAGAAGGCUAGUUUUCUUUUAGACGGUGCUGUAAUGUUUAAAUAAGUUAAAACAUCUAAGAGGCUUUGCACAGCACCCAGCCUGUCUUAAAUACUCUGUAAUGUCAAUGUUGUUGCCUCUCUAGCCUUACUUCUUGCCCCUCUUCCACACAAACCUGACUCAGCCCUAUGGGGCUGGCUAUGGUUCUCUUUCUUACAUGUCCCUUGGUUCCUCCCUUUCCUGUCUUUUUCCUGGAUGUCUCCCACCGAUCCUUCAAGUCUCUGCUCAGGCACCAGCCCCUGGCUGCCUCAGCCCAAGCUGGAUUGGUGGCUCCUCCUCUGUCUCUCCCUCUUAGAACCUGUGCUUGCCUCUAUGACAGAACGUAGUAAUUGUUUAUUUAAAACAUACUAAGAAGCAUCCAUCAACAGAUGAAUGGAUAAGCAAAAUGUGGUAUAUACAUACAAUGGGAUAUUAUUCCACCUUAAGAAGGAAUGAAGUACAUCAUGGAUGAACCUCGAAAACAUUGUGCUAGGUAAAAUAAGCCAGGAUUUAGAGCCAAGAUUAAAACAGUUAGGCUAAAUUGCUGUAAAUCCUGGCUUCACCAGGCUGUGUGACCUGGUGUAAGGUAUACAGUUUCUCUAUGUUUUAGUUUCUUCAUCUGUAAAAAUAGGUAAAUUUCCUUUAUAAAGUUGUUUGAAGUAAUGUGUGUAGAAUACUUGACAUAUAACCUGGAUAAUGGUAAGCACUCAAUAAGUGUUUUCCCUUAUUAUUGUUCAGUUGUGAUCUCUUUGGGCACAGGCUCUAUGAUCUCUGUCACAGUUCAUUGAUAUGGUUUCAGAUUCCACACUGCAACCAACCUUGAAGAACAUAUUGCAACAGA
Long non-coding RNA from Mesoplodon densirostris (Blainville's beaked whale), 3500 nucleotides. RefSeq lists it as uncharacterized. Lineage: Eukaryota; Metazoa; Chordata; Mammalia; Artiodactyla; Ziphiidae. The transcript is spliced from 7 exons. The record is from RefSeq and is a predicted model, not a curated record.